Long non-coding RNA from Olea europaea var. sylvestris, 582 nucleotides. RefSeq lists it as uncharacterized. The transcript has 2 exons. Lineage: Eukaryota; Viridiplantae; Streptophyta; Magnoliopsida; Lamiales; Oleaceae. The record is from RefSeq and is a predicted model, not a curated record.
GAAAGCGGGUCUGGAUCCUUGUAAUUUGGAUCUUCAAUUUGUAAAAUGUGAAUCAACUCAACCGGAAUCCGAAUUCUAAAACGAUUCUGGGAUAGGAGGCCUCGAGAGCACGAAAGAGAUUACGGUGUAGUGGAUUUUUCUUAAAAUUUCUGAGAGCAGAAGGGAAGUAUUUAAAGAUGUUGGGCGCAUUGAAGGGACAGCCGCUGGUUACGAAGCUGGCAAAGGUGGCGCAAUACGGCAUUCUUCCUGGAGCCAUGAUCGCCUCCCUCUUUUACUCACCUCCCGAUUACGCUUCACCCAAAAAACCGUCUGAUUCUAAACCCCCCAGUUCUUCUUCCCAUUAGAUUCAAGGGCUCUUGGCUGGUUAAACAUGCAUCUUUCUAUUUCCUUGUGAUAUGUUAGUUUAAUAUGGCGAGUAAUAAAUAAUUAUUGCUGCUUUUGUUGCUAUGUACCAGUUGUAAACAAUCAGGAUUUUGAGUUUCAGUAUCUUUUGAAGAAAAUUGUUGCUUUCCUGUUAUGUCCUGCUAACAUUUGAGAGAUUUCGAUAGAUGCAAAUCUUUUUAAUUUAGCUCCUAUGCAUAC